CCUACGGGGUGCAGCAGUGAGGAAUAUUGGUCAAUGGACGCAAGUCUGAACCAGCCAUGUCGCGUGCAGGAAGACGGCUCUAUGAGUUGUAAACUGCUUUUGUACGAGGGUAAACGCAGAUACGCGUAUCUGUCUGAAAGUAUCGUACGAAUAAGGAUCGGCUAACUCCGUGCCCGCAGCCGCGGUAAUACGGAGGAUUCAAGCGUUAUCCGGAUUUAUUGGGUUUAAAGGGUGCGUAGGCGGUAGGAUAAGUUAGAGGUGAAAUCCAGAGGCUCAACUUCGGAAUUGCCUCUGAUACUGUUCGGCUAGAGAGUAGUUGCGGUAGGCGGAAUGUAUGGUGUAGCGGUGAAAUGCUUAGAGAGCAUACAGAACACCGAUUGCGAAGGCAGCUUACCAAGCUACUUCUGACGUUGAGGCACGAAAGCGUGGGGAGCAAACAGGAUUAGAUACCCUUGUAGUC
This 460-nucleotide ribosomal RNA is filed under the name uncultured bacterium. RNAcentral's name for it is "partial 16S ribosomal RNA". It matches the Rfam family "Bacterial small subunit ribosomal RNA", at positions 338 to 795 of the family's 1533-position model. The record is from RNAcentral.